UCAAGGUGAGAGAUACGGAGGUAGAGCACUGAAUGUCCUAGGGGGUAUUGCACCUACCGAAGACUAUCAAACUCCGAAUGCCGUCAUCUUAUACUUGGGAGUCAGACUGUGGGUGAUAAGAUUCAUAGUCGAAAGGGCAACAGCCCAGAUCGUCAGCUAAGGUCCCUAAAUGUAAGUUAAGUGGUAAAGGAUGUGGGAUUGCACAGACAACCAGGAUGUUGGCUUAGAAGCAGCCACUCAUUCAAAGAGUGCGUAAUAGCUCACUGGUCGAGUGAUCCUGCGCCGAAGAUUUCCGGGGCUAAAACUUACUACCGAAGCUACGGCAUCAGUAAUGAUGGGUAGGGGAGCUUCCCAUACGGGUUGAAGCAUGACCGUAAGGACAUGUGGACAGUAUGGGAGUGAGAAUGUUGGCAUGAGUAGCGAGAUGUGGGUGAGAAUCCCACAGGCCGUAAACCCAAGGUUUCCAGGGGAAGGUUCGUCCGCCCUGGGUUAGUCGGGACCUAAGCUGAGGCCGAAAGGCGUAGGUGAUGGACAACAGGUUGAUAUUCCUGUACUACCGAUAACCGUUUGAGAGAAGGGAUGACACAGUAGGAUAAGCUAAGCACACUGUUGGUUAUGUGUGCCCAAGCAUUGAGGCAGUCAAAGUAGGCAAAUCCGCUUUGAUAAUGCUGGGAUGUGAUGGGGAGCGAAAUUUAGUAGCGAAGUAGCUGAUUUCACACUGUCAAGAAAAGUCUCUAUCGAGGUUAAAGGUACCCGUACCGCAAACCGACACAGGUGGGUGAGGAGAGUAUCCUAAGGCCAGCGAGAGAACUGUUGUUAAGGAACUCGGCAAAAUGACCCCGUAACUUAGGGAUAAGGGGUGCCACCAUCAGGUGGCCGCAGAGAAUAGGCCCAAGCGACUGUUUACCAAAAACAUAGGUUUCUGCUAAGUCGCAAGACGAUGUAUAGGAGCUGACGCCUGCCCGGUGCUGGAAGGUUAAGGGGAUCUGUUAGAGCAAUCGAAGCAGUGAACUUAAGCCCCAGUAAACGGCGGCCGUAACUAUAACGGUCCUAAGGUAGCGAAAUUCCUUGUCGGGUAAGUUCCGACCCGCACGAAAGGCGUAACGAUUUGGGCACUGUCUCAACAACAGACUCGGUGAAAUUGUAAUUCCGGUGAAGAUGCCGGAUACCUGCGACAGGACGGAAAGACCCCAUGGAGCUUUACUGUAGCUUGACAUUGGGUCUUGGUACUACAUGUACAGGAUAGGUGGGAGGCUUUGAAACCAGGACGCCAGUUUUGGCGGAGCCAUCCUUGGGAUACCACCCUUGUAGUACUGGGACUCUAACCAUAGGCCAUGAAUCUGGUCUUGGGACACUGUCA
This 1360-nucleotide ribosomal RNA is filed under the name Clostridioides difficile. RNAcentral's name for it is "bacterial LSU rRNA". It matches the Rfam family "Bacterial large subunit ribosomal RNA", at positions 882 to 2259 of the family's 2925-position model. Lineage: Bacteria; Bacillati; Bacillota; Clostridia; Peptostreptococcales; Peptostreptococcaceae. The record is from RNAcentral.